GACGAACGCUGGCGGCGUGCUUAACACAUGCAAGUCGAACGGAAAGGCCUCUUUCGGGGGGUACUCGAGUGGCGAACGGGUGAGUAACACGUGAGUAACCUGCCCUUGACUUUGGGAUAACUUCAGGAAACUGGGGCUAAUACCGGAUAGGAGCUCCUGCUGCAUGGUGGGGGUUGGAAAGUUUCGGCGGUUGGGGAUGGACUCGCGGCUUAUCAGCUUGUUGGUGGGGUAGUGGCUUACCAAGGCUUUGACGGGUAGCCGGCCUGAGAGGGUGACCGGCCACAUUGGGACUGAGAUACGGCCCAGACUCCUACGGGAGGCAGCAGUGGGGAAUAUUGCACAAUGGGUGGAAGCCUGAUGCAGCAACGCCGUGUGCGGGAUGACGGCCUUCGGGUUGUAAACCGCUUUCGCUCAUGACGAAGCUUUGUGUGACGGUAGUGGGUCAAGAAGCACCGGCUAACUACGUG
This 467-nucleotide ribosomal RNA is filed under the name uncultured bacterium. RNAcentral describes it as "partial 16S ribosomal RNA". It matches the Rfam family "Bacterial small subunit ribosomal RNA", at positions 28 to 507 of the family's 1533-position model. The record is from RNAcentral.